Molecule: ribosomal RNA, 253 nt
Filed under: uncultured bacterium
Lineage: Bacteria
Description: partial 16S ribosomal RNA
Rfam family: Bacterial small subunit ribosomal RNA
Source: RNAcentral
UACGAAGGGGGCUAGCGUUGUUCGGAAUCACUGGGCGUAAAGGGUGCGUAGGCGGCCGUGUAAGUCUGGCGUGAAAGCCCCGGGCUCAGCCCGGGAAGUGCGCUCGAAACUGCGCGGCUCGAGUGCCGGAGGGGAGAGUGGAAUUCCUGGUGUAGCGGUGAAAUGCGUAGAUAUCAGGAGGAAUACCGGUGGCGAAAGCGACUCUCUGGACGGCAACUGACGCUGAGGCACGAAAGCGUGGGGAGCAAACAGG